UACAGAGGGUGCGAGCGUUAAUCGGAAUUACUGGGCGUAAAGCGUGCGUAGACGGUCAUGUAAGUCGGGUGUGAAAGCCCCGGGCUCAACCUGGGAAAUGCAUUCGAGACUGCAUGGCUAGGAUGCGGAAGAGGGAAGCGGAAUUUCCGGUGUAGCGGUGAAAUGCGUAGAUAUCCGGAGGAACACCGGUGGCGAAGGCGGCUUCCUGGACCGACACUGACGCUGAGGCGCGAAAGCCAGGGGAGCAAACGGG
Molecule: ribosomal RNA, 253 nt
Filed under: uncultured bacterium
Lineage: Bacteria
Description: partial 16S ribosomal RNA
Rfam family: Bacterial small subunit ribosomal RNA
Source: RNAcentral